UUGAACGCUGGCGGCAUGCCUUACACAUGCAAGUCGAACGGUAGAGGGGCAACCCUUGAGAGUGGCGAACGGGUGAGUAAUGCAUCGGAACGUGCCCAGUCGUGGGGGAUAACGCAGCGAAAGCUGUGCUAAUACCGCAUGUGAUCUGUAGGAUGAAAGCAGGGGACCGCAAGGCCUUGUGCGAUUGGAGCGGCCGAUGUCAGAUUAGCUAGUUGGUAGGGUAAAAGCCUU
This 231-nucleotide ribosomal RNA is filed under the name uncultured bacterium. RNAcentral's name for it is "partial 16S ribosomal RNA". It matches the Rfam family "Bacterial small subunit ribosomal RNA", at positions 30 to 267 of the family's 1533-position model. The record is from RNAcentral.